This 284-nucleotide ribosomal RNA is filed under the name Alistipes onderdonkii. Its description in RNAcentral is "partial 16S ribosomal RNA". The stretch from base 75 to 284 matches the Rfam family "Bacterial small subunit ribosomal RNA", at positions 567 to 776 of the family's 1533-position model. Lineage: Bacteria; Pseudomonadati; Bacteroidota; Bacteroidia; Bacteroidales; Rikenellaceae. The record is from RNAcentral.
UCUUUUCCUUUUUUUCCCUCCUCCUCGGUCCUCCUUCUGCUUCCCGCGUUCUCCUGCUUUCUUUUUUUUCCCUUUUUCUUCUUCGGUUUGCUCCUUUAGAGGUGAAAUCCCGGGGCUUAACUCCGGAACUGCCUCUAAUACUGUUAGACUAGAGAGUAGUUGCGGUAGGCGGAAUGUAUGGUGUAGCGGUGAAAUGCUUAGAGAUCAUACAGAACACCGAUUGCGAAGGCAGCUUACCAAACUAUAUCUGACGUUGAGGCACGAAAGCGUGGGGAGCAAACAGG